CCUACGGGAGGCAGCAGUAGGGAAUAUUGCUCAAUGGGGGAAACCCUGAAGCAGCAACGCCGCGUGGAGGAUGAAGGUUUUAGGAUUGUAAACUCCUUUUGUGAGAGAAGAUAAUGACGGUAUCUCACGAAUAAGCACCGGCUAACUCCGUGCCAGCAGCCGCGGUAAUACGGAGGGUGCAAGCGUUACUCGGAAUCACUGGGCGUAAAGAGUGCGCAGGCGGGCCUGUAAGUCAGAUGUGAAAUCCUGUAGCUUAACUACAGAACUGCAUUUGAAACUAUGAGUCUAGAGUGUGGGAGAGGUAGGUGGAAUUCUUGGUGUAGGGGUAAAAUGCGUAGAUAUCAAGAGGAAUACUCAUUGCGAAGGCGACCUACUGGAACAUUACUGACGCUCAUGCACGAAAGCGUGGGGAGCAAACAGGAUUAGAUACCCCUGUAGUC
RNAcentral lists this ribosomal RNA (440 nucleotides) under uncultured bacterium. RNAcentral's name for it is "partial 16S ribosomal RNA". It matches the Rfam family "Bacterial small subunit ribosomal RNA", at positions 338 to 795 of the family's 1533-position model. The record is from RNAcentral.